GAUGAACGCUGGCGGCGUGCCUAAUACAUGCAAGUCGAGCGAACAGACGCGGAGCUUGCUCCUUUGACGUUAGCGGCGGACGGGUGAGUAACACGUGGGUAACCUACCUAUAAGACUGGGAUAACUUCGGGAAACCGGAGCUAAUACCGGAUAAUAUUUCGAACCGCAUGGUUCGAUAGUGAAAGAUGGCUUUGCUAUCCCUUAUAGAUGGACCUGCGCCGUAUUAGCUAGUUGGUAAGGUAACGGCUUACCAAGGCAACGAUACGUAGCCGACCUGAGAGGGUGAUCGGCCACACUGGAACUGAGGCACGGUCCAGACUCCUACGGGAGGCAGCAGUAGGGAAUCUUCCGCAAUGGGCGAAAGCCUGACGGAGCAACGCCGCGUGAGUGAUGAAGGUCUUCGGAUCGUAAAACUCUGUUAUUAGGGAAGAACAAACGUGUAAGUAACUGUGCACGUCUUGACGGUACCUAAUCAGAAAGCAACGGCUAACUACGUG
RNAcentral lists this ribosomal RNA (497 nucleotides) under uncultured bacterium. RNAcentral's name for it is "partial 16S ribosomal RNA". It matches the Rfam family "Bacterial small subunit ribosomal RNA", at positions 28 to 507 of the family's 1533-position model. The record is from RNAcentral.